UAACGAGAUUCCUUCUGUCCCUACGCACGGUCUAGCGAAUUCACAGCCAAGGGAACGGGCUUGGAUGUGUCAGCGGGGAAAGAAGACCCUGUUGAGCUUGACUCUAGUUCGACUGUGUGAAACGACCUCGGAGAUGUAGAAUAAGUGGGAGCAUUGUCAUCUUUGAAAUACCACUACUCCAAGCGUUGUUUCACUUACUUGAUUAGACCAUAUUUGAUGACGAAUCAUUUUUUGUAUCAUCUCUGGCAUCCGCCGGAGUUGUGGUGUGAAGCACACAGUCAGGUAGGGAGUUUGGCUGGGGCGGCACAUCUGUUAAA
RNAcentral lists this ribosomal RNA (317 nucleotides) under Prorocentrum micans. Its description in RNAcentral is "partial Eukaryotic large subunit ribosomal RNA". It matches the Rfam family "Eukaryotic large subunit ribosomal RNA", at positions 2325 to 2646 of the family's 3401-position model. The record is from RNAcentral. Lineage: Eukaryota; Dinophyceae; Prorocentrales; Prorocentraceae.